RNAcentral lists this long non-coding RNA (382 nucleotides) under Mustela putorius furo (domestic ferret). RNAcentral describes it as "lncRNA (ENSMPUG00000024342.1)". The record is from RNAcentral. Lineage: Eukaryota; Metazoa; Chordata; Mammalia; Carnivora; Mustelidae.
AUGUGGUCACCACCAUGGGAACCUGGACUCAUACUCUGUUUCCAAAGCCCAUCAGGAGGAUGUGUCAUGGCACCCUCAGCCACAAUGACACCCAAUUCAUCAGCUACUAAUUGAGCAUUCAACAUACCACAGAAUGCAUUCAAGAAAAAAAAAAAAAAAAUCAAACCAGGAGGCUGCCAAUUUCAGUUGGACUUUAACCUGCUUGCUUUUAAUAAUGCUUGAAUAUAGAUCCUAAUUUAUGGGCUUCAUGUGAAUAUUAUUAAACCUUCCCUACCAUUCCCUUGUGCUUUGAAUGUUCAUUGACCUGUGAAGAUAGCUGAGUGGAUAAAUAAACUUAUAUGUAGACCUGGCAAAUCAGAGGGAUAUUAGAACUAGAGCUCAU